UACGUAGGGUGCGAGCGUUGUCCGGAAUUAUUGGGCGUAAAGGGCUCGUAGGCGGUUUGUCGCGUCGGGAGUGAAAACUCAGGGCUUAACCCUGAGCCUGCUUCCGAUACGGGCAGACUAGAGGUAUGCAGGGGAGAAUGGAAUUCCUGGUGUAGCGGUGAAAUGCGCAGAUAUCAGGAGGAACACCGGUGGCGAAGGCGGUUCUCUGGGCAUUACCUGACGUGAGGAGCGAAAGUGUGGGGAGCGAACAGG
Molecule: ribosomal RNA, 252 nt
Filed under: uncultured bacterium
Lineage: Bacteria
Description: partial 16S ribosomal RNA
Rfam family: Bacterial small subunit ribosomal RNA
Source: RNAcentral